CUAAGGGAAUUCUGACACCCCAGCCGGCCACUCUGGUGACAGAGGUGGAGGUGGCAGAACAGAGCGCCUUGGAUGAUGUGGCAGAGAGCAGAGAUCAUUGUCUCUAGGAUCAUCCCAAAUCGGGGCAUCUGAGGAAGAUGUAUCCCUGAGAAAGUAAACUGGCGGAACCUCAUAGGCUCGAGGGAAAAAUGGUCCUUUUCUCUUAAAGGCUGCUAUCACAGAGAUGGAAAAGAAAGAAUACCAGAGUGUUUAAGACACUCAGCAAGAGAUGAACCAGAUAGAUUGUUCGGUCUCUUCACGGGAUUCUUGGGAGAAGAUGCUGUUUUUAAAGCGCUGGAUACCCGGCCCACGAAUGAUUACCAGAACUUACGAGUUGAGAGGUGGGAGUCCAAUGACUGGACUGUUACUAGGAGAGGAUUGGAUGGCUGACAAUGGCUUUUUCUGA
Molecule: long non-coding RNA, 445 nt
Filed under: Fukomys damarensis (Damara mole-rat)
Lineage: Eukaryota; Metazoa; Chordata; Mammalia; Rodentia; Bathyergidae
Description: lncRNA (ENSFDAG00000029699.1)
Source: RNAcentral